UACGUAGGGUGCGAGCGUUAAUCGGAAUUACUGGGCGUAAAGCGUGCGCAGGCGGUUCUGAAAGUCAGCUGUGAAAGCCCCGGGCUUAACCUGGGAAUGGCGGUUGAAACUACAGGACUAGAAUCUGGCAGAGGGGGGUGGAAUUCCACGUGUAGCAGCGAAAUGCGUAGAGAUGUGGAGGAACACCGAUGGCGAAGGCAGCCCCCUGGGCUGAGAUUGACGCUCAGGCACGAAAGCGUGGGGAGCAAACAGG
RNAcentral lists this ribosomal RNA (253 nucleotides) under uncultured bacterium. RNAcentral's name for it is "partial 16S ribosomal RNA". It matches the Rfam family "Bacterial small subunit ribosomal RNA", at positions 524 to 776 of the family's 1533-position model. The record is from RNAcentral.